RNAcentral lists this ribosomal RNA (253 nucleotides) under uncultured bacterium. RNAcentral describes it as "partial 16S ribosomal RNA". It matches the Rfam family "Bacterial small subunit ribosomal RNA", at positions 524 to 776 of the family's 1533-position model. The record is from RNAcentral.
GACGUAGGGCGCGAGCGUUGUCCGGAUUUAUUGGGCGUAAAGAGCUCGUAGGCGGCUUGUCGCGUCGUCCGUGAAAACCUGCGGCUCAACUGCAGGCUGGCGGUCGAUACGGGCAGGCUGGAGUUCGGUAGGGGAGACUGGAAUUCCUGGUGUAGCGGUGAAAUGCGUAGAUAUCUGGAGGAACACCGGUGGCGAAGGCGGCAUCCUGGACCGGCACUGACGCUGAAAAGCGAAAGCUAGGGGAGCAAACGGG